Molecule: small RNA, 28 nt
Filed under: Bombyx mori (domestic silkworm)
Lineage: Eukaryota; Metazoa; Arthropoda; Insecta; Lepidoptera; Bombycidae
Description: ovarian small RNA-7045
Source: RNAcentral
UCAUAUUAAAGAAGUGGGUGGUACGCAC